Molecule: ribosomal RNA, 166 nt
Filed under: uncultured bacterium
Lineage: Bacteria
Description: partial 16S ribosomal RNA
Rfam family: Bacterial small subunit ribosomal RNA
Source: RNAcentral
GCUAGUAAUGGCAGGUCAGCAUACUGCCGUGAAUACGUUCCCGGGCCUUGUACACACCGCCCGUCACACCAUGAGAGUUGGGAAUACCCGAAGCCUGUGAGCUAACAUUAUGAGGCAGCAGUCGAAGGUAGAAUCAAUGAUUGGGGUGAAGUCGUAACAAGGUACC